GUUUGUGUUAGCAAGGAAACAGUGCGGUUGGCCGGAGAAAAUCCCUAGCAGCCUAGCGCCAUUCCAUUCGACGAGUAUAAAGACAACGAAACCAUACGCCCUGUUCUUCUCUCCUUUGCUUUUCCAGCUUUUUUUUCUCCAACUCUUACCCAUCCUCUUCUUCUCCCUGGAUAAGUGUAUGAGCCCCAUACCUCUCCACUUGUUGUUAUUUCGGUCUUGAUUGGGUUUUGCUCCUCUUGGCCCAGCGCUGCGUCUUUCUUCCAUCCACUCCGUCAGGACCGCCUGUCGCUCCACUACAUAGAAUCCCAAACAAGUUUCCUAUACAGUACGUUCAAAUACAAAAAAGGAAAAACGCACACAAAAAAAACAAACAAAAAAACAUUGAAAAAAAAAAGCCUAAAAAAAGCCCAACAAAAUUAAAGUGAAAACUGGUGAAAAAAAAGGAGGAGGGAGGGCGGGAGGGAGCUACAGGCAGAGGCAAAAUUGUUGGCUGUUGUAGAGUUUGGCUCUCGGCCGCAGGGUCGUCUGAUACCUCAUCGUCAAUUUAUAAAUAAUACAUUAGUCCGUGUAGAUAAGGAUGCUUCCAUUUACCGAUUUUUUCAGCUCUCUACCCAGCGAUGUUACCAUCCGGGCAAUCCAUCCAUCCAUCGCCAAGCCGGGACAACUCUUGGCGUGAUUCCUGAAUUCAGCAUGCAGGGUCAUUUCUUUUUUUACGUCCGGCGAAGCUGUUGAUCAGAUCAGCCGUACCAGUGCAAUAAUCUCGACUUGCCAGCUGCUUUAGAAGCAUAUAACCUAUGUUUCGCUAGUAAAGCUGUAACCUGUAACGCCCGCACUCAAAUCGACGAAAACAAUGUGGGAAGUUACCACGUCUUUUGCUUUGUUAGAAUUAAUUAGUAUCUACAAGCGUUGUACAACUUAAGGUUUUUUGUUCAAAGUUGUCUACUUUGCUUAGACAAGGCCAUUCGGCCAACAUCUCGAGGUGACCUACAGCGCAGCAGAAAUGUCACGUUUGCUAACACUGGACAUAAACAUGGCUUAUAUUUACGGCUUAGGCUACAAUGAUACCCAUAGGUUUAUUAUCAGCGAUGUCCUCUAUGGUGUCCGAUCGGUUGAGUUAUACGUCAUCUCUGGACUCCUCCACGCAUUUAUUCCUAGUGAUCACAUCCGUAUAUAACCUCCAUAUUACGGAAUCAAAACGACACAUUUUUAGAUUAGUCAUCGUGAAUCAUUACGUUGGGACCUGGUUGGAAUUCGCUCCUAUCUAAUGAUAUGCCCUUUGAUAUUUUAGGCCCUAAACUAUUUUUAAGGUGCUCGUUUACGAGCAUAGCGUUGGAGAUCUUGAUCCACUUAAUUUAUUAAACCACUAGAAAUAUGACGAAUUAAUUUUCGACGGGGAUUGGUAACCUCAUACCAAAAUAUAUGAGAUUCUAAAUUUUGACUUAAUUUGCAAAAUUUUUAGCGAAAAAACAAUUAUUUGGCCUGACAAAAAUUCCAUCUCCUGCUGUUACAAAAGCUGCUUUAAAAAAUUGGAUCAGAAGGGAAUUAUAAGAUUUUCUAAAAAUGUCUUCGUGUUAAAGGCUCUACAAGUUUCUGAGAACGAAAAACAGUUCUUGUAACCAUGCAAAACAACAUCAGCUAGUAGAUUGGGAUGAUAAACUGCAAAAUUGUGUACUUUUUUUUGGGUUCGAAUUUGGUAUCCUUGAACUAAGGAGAAGCAAAAUUCAUUUUUGCGUUCCAAUGCCCCCCACCAUCUCUCUACACCAAACCUGCAGUCUAUUUGCGUCACCCGGUCGUAUGAUGCCAUGUUUAAACCACUGUACAAAGGCCUAAAGUGGGUCUAGAGCAUAUUUUUGCAUUCUGGUAACGGUAUU
Long non-coding RNA from Daphnia carinata, 1871 nucleotides. RefSeq lists it as uncharacterized. The transcript has 3 exons. Lineage: Eukaryota; Metazoa; Arthropoda; Branchiopoda; Diplostraca; Daphniidae. The record is from RefSeq and is a predicted model, not a curated record.